RNAcentral lists this unclassified non-coding RNA (240 nucleotides) under soil metagenome. RNAcentral describes it as "partial contains 5.8S ribosomal RNA, internal transcribed spacer 2, and large subunit ribosomal RNA". The record is from RNAcentral.
AACACUGUUAACCUGCGGUACCUGCGGAGGGAUCAUUACCGAGUUAGGAUACUCUUCGUGCCCGACCUCCCAACCCUUUGUCUACCUGACCAGAUGUUGCUUCGGCAGGCCCGCCGCCCCGCAAGGGGUAGCCGCCGGGGGCCCUUACCGGCUCCGGGUCCGCGCCUGUCGAUGGCCCUCUAUAAACUCUUGCUUAAACCGUGUCGUCUCAGUAAAACAAACAAAUAAAAACAAAACUUU